RNAcentral lists this ribosomal RNA (233 nucleotides) under uncultured Lactobacillus sp. Its description in RNAcentral is "partial 16S ribosomal RNA". It matches the Rfam family "Bacterial small subunit ribosomal RNA", at positions 129 to 355 of the family's 1533-position model. Lineage: Bacteria; Bacillati; Bacillota; Bacilli; Lactobacillales; Lactobacillaceae. The record is from RNAcentral.
CCCAAGAGAUCGGGAUAACACCUGGAAACAGAUGCUAAUACCGGAUAACAACAGAUGAUGCCUAUCAACUGUUUAAAAGAUGGUUCUGCUAUCACUCUUGGAUGGACCUGCGGUGCAUUAGCUAGUUGGUAGGGUAACGGCCUACCAAGGCGAUGAUGCAUAGCCGAGUUGAGAGACUGAUCGACCACAUUGGGACUGAGACACGGCCCAAACUCCUACGGGAGGCAGCAGCA